RNAcentral lists this ribosomal RNA (482 nucleotides) under uncultured bacterium. RNAcentral's name for it is "partial 16S ribosomal RNA". It matches the Rfam family "Bacterial small subunit ribosomal RNA", at positions 28 to 523 of the family's 1533-position model. The record is from RNAcentral.
GACGAGCGCUGGAGGCGUGCUUAACACAUGCAAGUCGAACGAUGAAAUGGAGCUUGCUCCAUGGAUUAGUGGCGAACGGGUGAGUAACACGUGAAUAACCUGCCCUUAAUUUUGGAAUAACCCAGGGAAACCUGGGCUAAUACCGGAUAAGUAAACCUGUGGCAUCACAUGGUUUUGGAAAGUUUUUCGAUUAAGGAUGGAUUCGCGGCCUAUCAGCUUGUUGGUGAGGUAAUGGCUAACCAAGGCGACGACGGGUAGCCGGCCUGAGAGGGUGAACGGCCACGCUGGGACUGAGACACGGCCCAGACUCCUACGGGAGGCAGCAGUGGGGAAUAUUGCGCAAUGGACGAAAGUCUGACGCAGCGACGCCUCGUGAGGGACGAAGGUCUUCGGAUUGUAAACCUCUUUCAGCAGGGACGAAGCGAAAGUGACGGUACCUGCAGAAGAAGCACCGGCUAACUAUGUGCCAGCCGCCGCGGUAA